GUUUGAUGGCGACCGGCGCACGGGUGAGUAACACGUAUCCAACCUGCCGAUGACUCGGGGAUAGCCUUUCGAAAGAAAGAUUAAUACCCGAUGGCAUAGUUCUUCCGCAUGGUAGAACUAUUAAAGAAUUUCGGUCAUCGAUGGGAUGCGUUCCAUUAGGUUGUUGGCGGGGUAACGGCCCACCAAGCCUUCGAUGGAUAGGGGUUCUGAGAGGAAGGUCCCCCACAUUGGAACUGAGACACGGUCCAAACUCCUACGGGAGGCAGCAUG
Molecule: ribosomal RNA, 270 nt
Filed under: uncultured bacterium
Lineage: Bacteria
Description: partial 16S ribosomal RNA
Rfam family: Bacterial small subunit ribosomal RNA
Source: RNAcentral